This 482-nucleotide ribosomal RNA is filed under the name uncultured bacterium. RNAcentral's name for it is "partial 16S ribosomal RNA". It matches the Rfam family "Bacterial small subunit ribosomal RNA", at positions 30 to 507 of the family's 1533-position model. The record is from RNAcentral.
AUUGAACGCUGGCGGCAUGCUUUACACAUGCAAGUCGAACGGUAACAGGCCGCAAGGUGCUGACGAGUGGCGAACGGGUGAGUAAUGCAUCGGAACGUGCCCAGUCGUGGGGGAUAACUACUCGAAAGAGUAGCUAAUACCGCAUACGAUCUAUGGAUGAAAGCGGGGGACCGUAAGGCCUCGCGCGAUUGGAGUGGCCGAUGUCAGAUUAGGUAGUUGGUGGGGUAAAGGCUCACCAAGCCAACGAUCUGCAGCUGGUCUGAGAGGACGACCAGCCACACGGGGGCUGAGACACGGCCCAGACUCCUACGGGAGGCAGCAGUGGGGAAUUUUGGACAAUGGGCGCAAGCCUGAUCCAGCAAUGCCGCGUGCAGGAAGAAGGCCUUCGGGUUGUAAACUGCUUUUGUACGGAACGAAACGGCUCUGGUUAAUACCCGGGGCUAAUGACGGUACCGUAAGAAUAAGCACCGGCUAACUACGUG